Arachis stenosperma is the source of this 1304-nucleotide long non-coding RNA. RefSeq lists it as uncharacterized. Lineage: Eukaryota; Viridiplantae; Streptophyta; Magnoliopsida; Fabales; Fabaceae. The record is from RefSeq and is a predicted model, not a curated record. The transcript has 3 exons.
AUAAUAUGUGUGAGGAGUGUGUGAGUGUGUUGUGUACUUAGGAUUGGGGUUGUCCAAUCCACUGACCAAAAAAAAAACAAUCACUAGGGUUUCGGAGUGCAACUAGAUUUUCAUUUUGUUAUUUACCAAAAAAUAAAAAAUAUUUUCAUUUUGUUACUCCAAAAUUUUCUUGUUCGUUUUUGUUGCUUCUCUAAUCAACGCUUCACCAUGAGCAGAUCAGGGCAGCCACCGGAUUUGAAGAAGUACAUGGACAAGAAAUUUUAGAAUAAUACUACACAUUCAAGUCUUUUUACGAACUUAAGUCCAACCGAGAUAAACAAUAAGAAUUGAAAUAAUCCCAGUCAUAAUUGAUUUUUUUAUAUUGGAUCAACUUGGUUGAAUAUGGUUAAUAAAAAAAUUUGGAUGAGUAGCAUUAUUCUAGUCCUUAUCAUCUGCUUGCAGUUAAACCUAAUGCAAACAGGAUGAUUGUUGGUACCCUCAGGGGUUUUGACCAGUUCAUGAACCUAAUUGUUGACAACACUGUUGAAGUCAAUGGCAAUGAAAAUAGCGAAAUAGGAAUGGUGGUAGUUAGAGGAAACAGUGUGGUUACUGUUGAAGCACUUGAGCCUGUCAACUUCUGUUUUAUUGUAAUAUUUCUCAGUAAUUGCAAUGUUUGAAAUGGUGUAUAUUUUGAACAUUGUAGAUGGCUUACUUCUGAGAGUAACAUGGAAGCGUGGACCUUAAGGUCAUUUGGCCAUUACUUUGGAGUUCAUUUCUUUUCUCAGCUGAUUUGUUAGUGUAGCGCACUGUGCAUUCCAGAUACCACUGUGAUUUUUUAAUGGGAUGCACUGAGUUUACCAAAUUGAAAUUAUGUCUAUAUAUAUAUAUAUAUGCAUUCUUCUUAGUUGAAUUUCUUCUCUUUUUUAUUUUAUUUUUUAUAGAAUUAUAAUCUUUUCUUCCGUUAUGUAUUGUUAUGAUUUAAUAAUACUUUGAUGGUUCUGUCUGUGCUCAAAACUUGGUUCACGUCUGUCUUUUGGAUAAACAAGGGGCAAAUUGCCUAACCACCGCACUAGGAUGCCAUUAAAAGAAACAUGACGUGUUCCAGCAAAUAAAGCAGUGAAGAAAGAGAAUUAGUUGUGGGGGCAAAUGAUGAAACCCCACAGGAAGUGAGGGACCAUGCUUAGCAAGCUCUGAACAUUUUGUAUGAUUUUCUUAUUGUAAAUAUUUGUUGUUAGUUGUGUAUCUCAUGGAGGGGAUUAGCUGUUACAUGUUUUUGUUAUGUAGUUGAGUCAUGUAUUUGUUUUGUUUCAUUCGGUAUGUUUAGA